GCUAUUAAAGUGGCUAAGGCCAUGAACAUGGAUGGACCUGCGGUGCAUUAGCUAGUUGGUGAGGUAACGGCCCACCAAGGCGACGAUGCAUAGCCGGCCUGAGAGGGCGGACGGCCACAUUGGGACUGAGACACGGCCCAAACUCCUACGGGAGGCAGCAGUAGGGAAUUUUCGUCAAUGGGGGGAACCCUGAACGAGCAAUGCCGCGUGAGUGAGGAAGGUCUUCGGAUCGUAAAGCUCUGUUGUAAGAGAAAAACGACAUUCAUAGGGAAUGAUGAGUGAGUGAUGGUAUCUUACCAGAAAGUCACGGCUAACUACGUGCCAGCAGCCGCGGUAAUACGUAGGUGGCGAGCGUUAUCCGGAAUGAUUGGGCGUAAAGGGUGCGUAGGUGGCAGAACAAGUCUGGAGUAAAAGGUAUGGGCUCAACCCGUACUGGCUCUGGAAACUGUUCAGCUAGAGAACAGAAGAGGACGGCGGAACUCCAUGUGUAGCGGUAAAAUGCGUAGAUAUAUGGAAGAACACCGGUGGCGAAGGCGGCCGUCUGGUCUGUUGCUGACACUGAAGCACGAAAGCGUGGGGAGCAAAUAGGAUUAGAUACCCUAGUAGUCCACGCCGUAAACGAUGAGAACUAGGUGUUGGGG
This 641-nucleotide ribosomal RNA is filed under the name uncultured bacterium. RNAcentral's name for it is "bacterial SSU rRNA". It matches the Rfam family "Bacterial small subunit ribosomal RNA", at positions 197 to 828 of the family's 1533-position model. The record is from RNAcentral.